This 254-nucleotide ribosomal RNA is filed under the name uncultured bacterium. RNAcentral describes it as "partial 16S ribosomal RNA". It matches the Rfam family "Bacterial small subunit ribosomal RNA", at positions 524 to 776 of the family's 1533-position model. The record is from RNAcentral.
CACGUAGGGGGCGAGCGUUGUCCGGAUUUAUUGGGCGUAAAGAGCUCGUAGGUGGUUCGGUAAGUCAGGUGUGAAACCUCCAGGCUCAACCUGGAGACGCCACUUGAUACUGCCGUGACUGGAGUCCGGUAGGGGAGCGUGGAAUUCCUGGUGUAGCGGUGAAAUGCGCAGAUAUCAGGAGGAACACCGGUGGCGAAGGCGGCCCUCUGGACGGAUACUGACGCUGAGGCGCGAAAGCGUGGGGAUCAAACAGG